This 451-nucleotide ribosomal RNA is filed under the name uncultured bacterium. Its description in RNAcentral is "partial 16S ribosomal RNA". The stretch from base 47 to 451 matches the Rfam family "Bacterial small subunit ribosomal RNA", at positions 39 to 507 of the family's 1533-position model. The record is from RNAcentral.
GAUGAAUGAGGGAGGAGGGAAGAAAAAAGGGAAGUAGAGCGGUAGAGAGGGGUGCUUGACAUCUGUAGGAGAGCGGAGAAAGGAUGAGUAAAGCGUAGGAAUUUGAACCAAAGUGAGGAAUAACUGCCCGAAAGGGUAGCUAAUGCCGCAUAUGGUCUUCGGAUUAAAGGAUUUAUCCGCUUUGGGAGAAGCCUGCGUUGGAUUAGGUUGUUGGUAGGGUAAUGGCCUACCAAGCCGACGAUCCAUAGCUGGUCUGAGAGGAUGAUCAGCCAGACUGGAACUGAGACACGGUCCAGACUCCUACGGGAGGCAGCAGUGAGGAAUCUUCCACAAUGGGCGAAAGCCUGAUGGAGCAACGCCGCGUGAAGGAUGAAGGCCUUCGGGUUGUAAACUUCUUUUAUGAGUGAAGAAUAUGACGGUAACUCAUGAAUAAGCACCGGCUAACUACGUU